CUCUGAGGAAGCACAGUUCCCGCUCAGCCCAGUCAAAACUGUUCGCUGCUCUGGCACCCCAAUGGUGGAACAAGCUCCUAUUGCUCAGUUUGGCUGGGCGGCCAGCUCUAGGAAGAGUCUCGGUGGUUCCAAACUUCUUCCAUUUAAGAAUGAUGGAGGCCAAUGUGUUCUUGGGGACCUUCAAUGUUGCAGACAUUUUUUGGUACCCUUCUCCAGAUCUGUGCCUUGACACAAUCCUGUCUCGGAGCUCAACAGACAAUUCCUUUGAUCUCAUGGUUUGGGUUCUGCUCUGACAUGCACUGUCAACUAUGGGACCUUAUAUAGACAGGUGUGUGCCUUUCCAAAUCAUGUCCAAUCAAUUGAAUUUACCACAGGUGGACUCUAAUCAAGUUGUACAAACAUCUCAAGGAUGAUCAAUGGAAACAGGAUGCACCUGAGCUCAAUUUCGAGUCUCAUAGCAAAGGGUCUGAAUACUUAUGUAAAUAAGGGUUAGGACUGUAACCACCAGAGGACUUGAAAAUGAGCUGGGGCAGAGAGGAUCACCAAAACUAUAGGUAUUUUGGUUUCAUGUGUAGGCAUACUGUGUAAUAAAAUAGAUUAUUGUGUACUAAAAACAUGAAUGUGUUUUUGCAGAGCAUACAACCAUGCCAACAACCAUCCUUGGAGAUCAGUGGACAAAGGGCUGGACAACAGGCCGCACCGAAAAAACGCAUGGUUCCACAGAAUACCAACUGGAAUGAAUCCUGAGGCAAAUGUGGCUUCUUCAUCAACAUCUUUAAGCUUUCGUUAAUAAACUAAUGAUACAAAUACUGUCUCCAGCUUUGAUCCAUCUGGGUUGGCGACCCCCCUUGGGUUGUGCCGUGGCGGAGAUCUUUGUGGGCUAUAGUCGGCCUUGUCUCAGGAUGGUAAGUUGAUGGUUGAAGAUAUCCCUCUAGUGGUGUGGGGGCUGUGCUUUGGCAAAGUGGGUGGGAUUAUAUCCUGCCUGUUUGGCCCUAUCCGGGGGUAUCAUCGGAUGGGGCCACAGUGUCUCCUGACCCCUCCUGUCUCAGCCUCCAGUAUUUAUGCUGCAGUAGUUUAUGUGUCGGGGGGCUAGGGUCAGUCUGUUAUAUCUGGAGUAUUUCUCCUGUCUUAUCUGGUGUCCUGUGUGAAUUUAAGUAUGCUCUCUCUAAUUCUCUUUUUCUCUCUUUCUUUCUCUCUCUCGGAGGACCUGAGCCCUAGGACAAUGCCUCAGGACUACCUGGCAUGAUGAAUCCUUGUUGUCCCCAGUCUACCUGGCCAUGCAGCUGCUCCAGUGUCAGCUGUUUUGUCUGCGGCUAUGGAACCCUGACCUGUUCACUGUGAUUACUAUUAUUUGGUAAUUUAUGAACAUUUCAACAUCUUGGCCAUGUUCUGUUAUAAUCUCCACCCGGCACAGCCAGAAGAGGACUGGCCACCCCUCAUAGCCUGGUUCCUCUCUAGGUUUCUUCCUAGGUUUUGGCCUUUCUAGGGAGUUUUUCCUAGCCACCAUGCUUCUACACCUGCAUUGCUUGCUGUUUGGGGUUUUAGGCUGGGUUUCUGUACAACACUUUGAUAUGCCAGCUGAUGUAAGAAGGGCUAUAUAAAUACAUUUGAUUUGAUGCCUGGGCCUUCAGGACGCAAAGUUCUUUGUUUGUCAGACGAGUCAUUGGGUCGAAACUACAGAACAGUACAAAACAAGAGAACACACAUGGUUAAUGUUCUGAAGAAAAAAAAUAUAUUUACACUGCCGGUCAAAAGUUUUAGAACACCUACUCAUUCAAUGGUUUUUCUUUAUUUUUACUAUUUUCUACAUUGUAGAAUAAUACUGAAGACAUCAAAACUAUGAAGUAACACAUAUGGAAUCAUGUAGUAUCCAAAAAAGUGUUAAACAAAUCAGCAUAUAAAAUGUCUUACAGAGCCUUUCCAUAAGUCAACUCAAGUUUCUUCAACUGUCUUCUGACUGUGAUUAGAGUGAUGUGGAUGUUGUGCUGUGAUGCCAGCAGAUUCCAGACUGGAUUUGCCAAAUGCCCAUCCUCUUCAACCAUCAGUGAGUCGAUGGCUUGAAUAGUCUCGCUAGAAAUUGUAAUGAAAAGCACUAUACAAAGUAAAUGUAUUAUUUAUUAUGGUCUGACAUGGCUGCAGAAAUGUUACAAUUUUGUAAUGCGUUUUGUUUGGUAAAUUGUUUUGUAAAUAUUAAUUCACAUUUGUGGUGCCAC
This 2213-nucleotide long non-coding RNA is filed under the name Salmo salar (Atlantic salmon). Its description in RNAcentral is "lncRNA (ENSSSAG00000100226.1)". The record is from RNAcentral. Lineage: Eukaryota; Metazoa; Chordata; Actinopteri; Salmoniformes; Salmonidae.